Molecule: transfer RNA, 72 nt
Filed under: Bos taurus (domestic cattle)
Lineage: Eukaryota; Metazoa; Chordata; Mammalia; Artiodactyla; Bovidae
Rfam family: tRNA
About the family: Transfer RNA (tRNA) molecules are approximately 80 nucleotides in length. Their secondary structure includes four short double-helical elements and three loops (D, anti-codon, and T loops). Further hydrogen bonds mediate the characteristic L-shaped molecular structure. tRNAs have two regions of fundamental functional importance: the anti-codon, which is responsible for specific mRNA codon recognition, and the 3' end, to which the tRNAs corresponding amino acid is attached (by aminoacyl-tRNA synthetases). tRNAs cope with the degeneracy of the genetic code in two manners: having more than one tRNA (with a specific anti-codon) for a particular amino acid; and 'wobble' base-pairing, i.e. permitting non-standard base-pairing at the 3rd anti-codon position.
Source: Rfam by way of RNAcentral
UCCCUGGUAGCUCAGAUGGUAAAGCGUCUGCCUGCAAUGCGGGAGACCCGGGUUCGAUUCCUGGGUUGGGAA